UUGAACUGUGUAGUCAAUCUAACAAGCAGAUUAAAUGGAACGGAAAACAUCAUUCAUUCGGGCCUUUUUCAAGGCAUCAGUUUGUUAGGUGAAAGAGCUCUGGAGCUCAAGAAUAAGUGACCAACGCUUAUUGAGCUAUAUUCGGGAAAAGUUUGACAUAGAAUGAGUGUACUCUUUGCCAGACGGUCUCGCAAAUUUCGGUUUAGCUUCCGCCAAAAAAGAGCGGAAAGGAGUGGGAAAAGCUGUCAACAAUUAAUGCCGCCUACCUGAACGGUCCCGAUGCUUGACAAAGUCAAACUGUCCAGUUAGGACAUGUAUAACAACAGGCAGAUGGAUUAUUCAUAGCCCGACCUACUCUAACCAAAGAGUUGUUAUAAAGAAAGCGGAGCCCUUCCAAGGGUAUAGCACCACGGUCCUCAAGGUUUCGCGAGCAAUUUUAAUUUGUUAACAUCGGUGUUGAGCAGGGGCGAGGCCAAACAAAAUCGCGAACAUGGAGAUGAAUGUUAUAAUGCCAACAUUUGUAGCUUAUUGCAAACGGAAGUGAUCCAAAGAAACAUCCACCUGCGACUUGUCGGAAACAUUGCAUGUUUCCGCUAAUUUUAUAGGAAAAAGGCAAGAUCGGUCGCUAACCGGCGUCGAUGGCCCGAAUACUGGGACUCAUUACUCCUCGCAGCGACACUCACAGAGAAAGACCGGGCUUUUCAGUAGCACUAAGCAUCUACAAUGAGUCAUUUCAUAGAUGUUAUUGUUGUCGCCAUCCGCUACCAGUAGAGUUCGCCCAUUGUGCUGACGUGAUCGCAGAUCGGCGCGGCGUCCAGCCUUUUGGCCUCGUUUUAAACUAGCGCGUUCAGGGAACGUCCUGCCAUCCAUAGGACAACGGCUAGUUGCCUAUCGGAUUCAGGCGCGCCAUUUGGGGCAACUGGGGUUCCGUCGAUUUCCGUCAAACGCAACGAACAUCAACGAGACCAUCACAAUAGUAGGCAUUCUCCUGUCAGGUCAUCUUAUCGCCUUUAUAUUUGUCGCUUACCGUAUACGGCGAA
RNAcentral lists this long non-coding RNA (1040 nucleotides) under Varroa destructor (honeybee mite). RNAcentral's name for it is "uncharacterized LOC111250380, transcript variant X2". The record is from RNAcentral. Lineage: Eukaryota; Metazoa; Arthropoda; Arachnida; Mesostigmata; Varroidae.